RNAcentral lists this ribosomal RNA (500 nucleotides) under uncultured bacterium. RNAcentral's name for it is "partial 16S ribosomal RNA". It matches the Rfam family "Bacterial small subunit ribosomal RNA", at positions 30 to 523 of the family's 1533-position model. The record is from RNAcentral.
AUUGAACGCUGGCGGCAUGCCUUACACAUGCAAGUCGAACGGCAGCACGGGAGCAAUCCUGGUGGCGAGUGGCGAACGGGUGAGUAAUAUAUCGGAACGUGCCCAGUCGUGGGGGAUAACGUAGCGAAAGCUACGCUAAUACCGCAUACGAUCUACGGAUGAAAGCGGGGGAUCGCAAGACCUCGCGCGAUUGGAGCGGCCGAUAUCAGAUUAGGUAGUUGGUGGGGUAAAGGGUCACCAAGCCGACGAUCCGUAGCUGGUCUGAGAGGACGACCAGCCACACUGGGACUGAGACACGGCCCAGACUCCUACGGGAGGCAGCAGUGGGGAAUUUUGGACAAUGGGCGCAAGCCUGAUCCAGCAAUGCCGCGUGCAGGAUGAAGGCCUUCGGGUUGUAAACUGCUUUUGUACGGAACGAAACGGCGAGCUCUAAUACAGUUUGCUAAUGACGGUACCGUAAGAAUAAGCACCGGCUAACUACGUGCCAGCAGCCGCAGUAA